AACGAACGCUGGCGGCAUGCCUAACACAUGCAAGUCGAACGAGACCUUCGGGUCUAGGGGCGCACGGGUGCGUAACGCGUGGGAAUCUACCCUUGGGUUCGGAAUAACUCAGAGAAAUUUGAGCUAAUACCGGAUGAUGUCGCAAGACCAAAGAUUUAUCGCCCAAGGAUGAGCCCGCGUAGGAUUAGCUUGUUGGUGAGGUAAAAGCUCACCAAGGCGACGAUCCUUAGCUGGUCUGAGAGGAUGAUCAGCCACACUGGGACUGAGACACGGCCCAGACUCCUACGGGAGGCAGCAGUGGGGAAUAUUGGACAAUGGGCGAAAGCCUGAUCCAGCAAUGCCGCGUGAGUGAUGAAGGCCUUAGGGUUGUAAAGCUCUUUUACCCGGGAUGAUAAUGACAGUACCGGGAGAAUAAGCCCCGGCUAACUCCGUGCCAGCAGCCGCGGUAAU
RNAcentral lists this ribosomal RNA (450 nucleotides) under uncultured bacterium. Its description in RNAcentral is "bacterial SSU rRNA". It matches the Rfam family "Bacterial small subunit ribosomal RNA", at positions 29 to 524 of the family's 1533-position model. The record is from RNAcentral.